Molecule: microRNA precursor, 200 nt
Organism: Oryza sativa Indica Group (long-grained rice)
Lineage: Eukaryota; Viridiplantae; Streptophyta; Magnoliopsida; Poales; Poaceae
Rfam family: MIR812 microRNA precursor family
Source: Rfam
AAUAAGUGCAGUUUUGCACUGGUUACGUCCUGACCGUUCGUCUUAUUCGAAAUUUUUCUAUGAUUAGUAUUUUAUUGUUAGUAGAUGAUAAAACAUGAAUAAUACUUUAUGUGUGACUAUUUUUUUAAAUAUUUUUAUAAAUUUUUCAAAUAAAACGGACGGUCAAACGUUAGACACGGAUUCCCAUGGCUGCACUUAUU